ACAGUACAAACUGAGCAGACCAUUGACAUAGCAUAAGGUCAAGGAGUCGGGCCGCGAAAGUGGCAGUGGAAUGGAAUUGACACAUCCACGGGACAGU
RNAcentral lists this non-coding RNA (97 nucleotides) under pig gut metagenome. RNAcentral's name for it is "NiCo riboswitch". It matches the Rfam family "NiCo (Nickel/Cobalt) riboswitch aptamer". The record is from RNAcentral.